Molecule: ribosomal RNA, 397 nt
Filed under: uncultured bacterium
Lineage: Bacteria
Description: partial 16S ribosomal RNA
Rfam family: Bacterial small subunit ribosomal RNA
Source: RNAcentral
AUACGUAGGGGGCGAGCGUUGUCCGGAAUGAUUGGGCGUAAAGGGCGCGUAGGCGGCCUGUUAAGUCUGGAGUGAAAGUCCUGUUUUCAAGAUGGGAAUUGCUUUGGAUACCGAUGGGCUUGAGUGCAGGAGAGGUUAUCGGAAUUCCCGGUGUAGCGGUGAAAUGCGUAGAGAUCGGGAGGAACACCAGUGGCGAAGGCGGGUAACUGGACUGCAACUGACGCUGAGGCGCGAAAGUGUGGGGAGCAAACAGGAUUAGAUACCCUGGUAGUCCACACUGUAAACGAUGAAUGCUAGGUGUAAGAGGUAUCGACCCCUUUUGUGCCGGAGUUAACACAAUAAGCAUUCCGCCUGGGGAGUACGGCCGCAAGGUUGAAACUCAAAGGAAUUGACGGGG